This 4225-nucleotide long non-coding RNA is filed under the name Anolis carolinensis (green anole). RNAcentral's name for it is "lncRNA (ENSACAG00000043532.1)". Lineage: Eukaryota; Metazoa; Chordata; Lepidosauria; Squamata; Anolidae. The record is from RNAcentral.
AUGGCCUUUGAGGGUCCCUUUCCUUAUCUAUGGUCUUCUGAUGGCCUUAUGAGAUCUUCUAGAUGGUCUUUGGAGGUCUCUUUGCUUACCUAUGGUCUUAUGAGAUCCUCUAGAUGGUCUUUGGAGGUCUCUUUGCUUACCUAUGGUCUUAUGAGAUCUUCUAGAUGGUCUUUGGAGGUCUCUUUGCUUACUUAUGGUCUUAUGAGACCAUCUAGAUGGUCUUUGGAGGUCUCUUUGCUUACCUAUGGUCUUAUGAGACCAACUAGAUGACCUUUAAGGGUCCCUUUCUUUACCUAUGGUCUUAUGAGAUCAUCUAGAUGGCCUUUGAGGGCCCCCUUCCUUACCUAUGGUCUUCUGAUGGCCUUAUGAGAUCAUCUAGAUGGCCUUUGAGGGUCCCUUUCCUUACCUAUGGUCUUAUGAGACCAUGUAGAUAAUCUUUGGAGGUCUCUUUCCUUACCUAUGGUCUUAUGAAACCAUCUAGAUGGUCUUUGCAGGUCCCUUUCCUUACGUAUGGUCUUCUGAUGACCUUAUGAGACCAUCUAGAUGGCCUUUGAGGGUCCAUUUCCUUACCGAUGAUCUUAUGAAACCAUCUAGAUGGACUUUGGAGGUCUCUUUGCUUACAUGGGGCCAGGGCCAGGUUUUUGAAGACAAUAUAAAAACACAACAGUAUAAAAACAAAUCACUAAAACGGGGAGAUGGAGGCAGGGUAUAAAAAUAAAGUUGUUGUUGUUAUUAUUAUUAGGUUUCACUUAUGUCCAGACUGCGCCAGCAACUCUUUAUUAAAUAGGAUAUUCUGGCAGAUUGUUUUGGAUGCUAGGAAGUCUUAUUACAGACUUUUGAAUUGUGUUUUUCAAUUUCUACUGCAAAUUUGUAAAACUGUCAGGCCACUAGGAUCCCACAUCAGAAAGAGUCAGGGAGGCGAAAUAUAGCUUAUCUCCAUCAGAGAAUCCCCAUGAUUAGGAAGCAGUCUGGCUUUGAAGCUGCAAGGCUAUUCCAUCAUAAAAACAUUGUUUAAAAGUGGUGUUAGGCUCCGCACACAGCUAUGAGGUCCUCUGGAUAAUGUAGUUGUUUCAGUUCCCUGGGGGACUUCUGCGCAUGCACGGUAAACAAUGGGGGGUUUCUGUUAUUUGGACUUUAUUUUUCUAGGGUUUUUUUAUUGAAAGACAUAGGUUGGAUGCCUAUAUCUUUUGUGGCCAAAUUUGGUGUGAUUUGGUCCAGUGGUUUUGUUGUUUACUUCAUGGCAAAAACACACAUUACAUUUAUAUAUAGAUUUUUCUAGGGUUUUUUUUUUUUAUCGAAAGACAGAUUGGGUGACUAUGUCUUUUGUGGCCAAAUUUGGUGUGAUCUGGUCCAGUGGUUUUGUUGUUUACUCCAUGGGAAAAAUGCACAUUACAUUUAUAUAUAUAUAUAUAUAUAUAUAUAUAUAUAUAUAUAUAUAUAAAAGCUGUGCCCGGCCAUGGGUUGUUUUGGCGAAGUCUGGUGGUAUGGGAAAUAAAGUACAGUAUUGAGGAACUGGUGGUAGUUAAGGUAAAGGGUAAAGGUUUCCCCCUGACAUUAAGUCCAUUAUAAAUGGGUUCUAUAGCUGUGUGGAAGGGCCUUGAGUCUACACUGCCAUAUAAUCCAGUUAAAAUCAGAUAAUCUGUAUUUUAUAGGCAAUGUGGAAGAGGCUUAAGUGAGGCCUAACUCUGCCUGUCCCCUGAGCUGAGUUGGUUGCUAGGAGAAAAAGAAGAAAAUUUUAUAGGCAGUGUGGAAGAGGCCUAAGUGAGGCCUAACUCUGCCUGUCCCCUGGGCUGAGUUGGUUGCUAGGAGAAAAAGAAGAAAAUUUUAUAGGCAGUGUGGAAGAGGCCUAAGUGAGGCCUAACUCUGCCUGUCCCCUGGGCUGAGUGGGUUGCUAGGAGAAAAAGAAGAAAAUUUUAAAGGCAGUGUGGAAGAGGUCUAAGUGAGGCCUAACUCUGCCUGUCCCCUGGGCUGAGUGGGUUACUAGACCAAGUGGGCAGAGCUUAGCCUUCUAACUGGCAGCAAUUGGAUAAAAACAAUUAUUCCUCUCUCUCUAAUUAGGACUUUAUUUUUCUUUUCUUUUUGUUGUAUCAACCUAGAGGCAUGGAUGAGGGGUUGUGCUGUCAAUUUUCGAGGUUGUGGGGUGUUUAGUUUUGUUGUUUUGUCCGAGGCCGAAAUUUCAUUACUCUUUUAUAUAUAUAGAUAGAUUUCUGGGAGGUGACUGGCUUUAGCUUUUGUGUGGAAAUUUCCUGCUUGUUCCCAGCCCAGCUUUGCUGUUCAGAAACCAGGACUUUAGGCCCCUAAAAUGCCUGAAGUUGAAAACAAAGGCCAUCUGCCGAAACAGGAAAUCAAUCCGCAGAAUCCAAACUUCUGCGCGGGGCUGACAACACAGUAUGAAGAUGACAACAAUCCAAAAGGUCACUUAACUGUUAUCGUGAUAAAAAAGGAAACAACUAUCAUCUCAGUCAAAGAAUAUGUGGCAUCGGAUCAAAAUCUCACAGUAAGUGACCCCCAAUUUUGAUUUUAUUUUAUUGUUUCAAAACCGUUCCUUCAGGAUGCUUGCCCGACAGUUUUUGUCCAUUUGUUCAGAUUCUGCCCUCUGCCCACACCAUCUUCCCCACAAGGUCCCAAUUUGGAAUAAAAGCACACACAUCUGAAGGAGCGGUUAUGGGAAGCCGAGCUUUUGGCAACGUGGAGAUUUCACUGGCGUUUCCAAACCUCCCCAAGGGUCAUGCCUUUGACAUUGGAGAUAUAAUACAAUGUAAUAAUAAUAAUACACUAUUGUAAUUGUAUAUGUAUACUAGCUGUGCCAGGCCACGCGUUGCUGUGGCUAGGACUUAAUUUUUCUUUUCUUUUUGUUGUAUGAACGUAGAGGCGUGGAUGAGAGGUUGUGCUGUCAAGUUUUGAGGUUGUGGGGCAUUUAGUUUAGUUGUUUUGUCCGGUGCCGCGAUUCCAUUACACUUUUAUAUAUAUAGAUUACUUGUAAUAUUACUAAUAAUAUUGCCAUAUAGUUGUAUAGUACAAUAUAAUAAUAUAUAAUGCUUAAAUUGUGCUAUACUAAUAAUAUAAUAUACUAGCUGUACCCAGCCACGUGUUGCUGUGGCAUAGUCAGGUGGUUAGGGAUCCCUCUAGUUAGGAAGCAGCCUGGCUUGGAAGCUGCAAGGCUGUUCAGUGGUAUUCAAUGUGGCCAACGGAGGAUCCCGGGGGCCUCUGCGCAUGCGUAGUCAGCAAUGGGGGAUUUUCUAUCAUUUGGACUUUAUUUUUCUAGGUUUUUUUAAUUGAAAGACAUAGAUUGGGUGACUAUGUCUUUUGUGGCCAAAUUUAGUGUGAUUUGGUCCAGUGGUUUUGUUGUUUACUCCAUGGGAAAAACGCACAUUACAUUUUUAUAUAUAAAAACUAGCUGUGCCCGGCCACGCGUUGCUGUGGCGAAGUAUGGUGGUAUGGGAAAUAAAGUAUUGAGGAAUUGGUAGUAGUUAAGGUAAAGGGUAAAGGUUUUCCCCUGACAUUAAGUCCAUUAUAAAUGGGUUAUAUAGCUGUGUGGAAGGGCCUUGAGUCUACACUGACAUAUAAUCCAGUUCAAAUCAGAUAAUCUGUAUUUUAUAGGCAGUGUGGAAGAGGCCUAAGUGAGGCCUAACUCUGCCUGUCCCCUGGGCUGAGUGGGUUGCUAGGAGAAAAAGAAGAAAAUUUUACAGACAGUGUGGAAGAGGCCUAAGUGAGGCCUAACUCUGCCUGUCCCCUGGGCUGAGUGGGUUGCUAGGAGAAAAAGAAGAAAAUUUUAUAGGCAGUGUGGAAGAGGCCUAAGUGAGGCCUAACUCUGCCUGUCCCCUGGGCUGAGUGGGUUGCUAGGAGAAAAAGAAGAAAAUUUUAUAGACAGUGUGGAAGAGGCCUAAGUGAGGCCUAACUCUGCCUGUCCGCAAUUGGGUAAAAACAAUUCUUCCUCUCCCUCUAGUUAGGACAUUAUUUUUCUUUUCUUUUUGUUGUAUGAACGCAGAGGCAUGGAUGAGGGGUUGUGCUGCCAAGUUUAGUGUUUCUGGGAUGUGUAGUUUUGUUGUUUUGUUCUAGGCCGAAAUUUCAUUACCCUUUUAUAUAUAUAGAUAUGGAGAUAAUAAAUGGAGGUCCUGCAGAUAAAUAUAACAGGAAACUACAGUUGAGAUAAAAGCGUAAGUUUGAACUCGGCCUCAACCCCCGACCAAGGUCCCUCUUCCGCCGCCAGUCAAAUUGCCAGUUG